This 550-nucleotide ribosomal RNA is filed under the name uncultured bacterium. RNAcentral's name for it is "bacterial SSU rRNA". It matches the Rfam family "Bacterial small subunit ribosomal RNA", at positions 355 to 896 of the family's 1533-position model. The record is from RNAcentral.
UAGGGAAUCUUCGGCAAUGGGGGCAACCCUGACCGAGCAACGCCGCGUGAGUGAAGAAGGUUUUCGGAUCGUAAAGCUCUGUUGUAAGUCAAGAACGAGUGUGAGAGUGGAAAGUUCACACUGUGACGGUAGCUUACCAGAAAGGGACGGCUAACUACGUGCCAGCAGCCGCGGUAAUACGUAGGUCCCGAGCGUUGUCCGGAUUUAUUGGGCGUAAAGCGAGCGCAGGCGGUUUGAUAAGUCUGAAGUUAAAGGCUGUGGCUCAACCAUAGUUCGCUUUGGAGACUGUCAAACUUGAGUGCAGAAGGGGAGAGUGGAAUUCCAUGUGUAGCGGUGAAAUGCGUAGAUAUAUGGAGGAACACCGGUGGCGAAAGCGGCUCUCUGGUCUGUAACUGACGCUGAGGCUCGAAAGCGUGGGGAGCGAACAGGAUUAGAUACCCUGGUAGUCCACGCCGUAAACGAUGAGUGCUAGGUGUUGGAUCCUUUCCGGGAUUCAGUGCCGCAGCUAACGCAUUAAGCACUCCGCCUGGGGAGUACGACCGCAAGGUUG